AGCAGAGUGGCGCAGUGGAAGCGUGCUGGGCCCAUAACCCAGAGGCAGUCCGUAAGUCACGAAACCACGCCUCCGUUA
Non-coding RNA from Trichonephila inaurata madagascariensis, 78 nucleotides. The record is from the annotation of a GenBank genome assembly. Lineage: Eukaryota; Metazoa; Arthropoda; Arachnida; Araneae; Nephilidae.